This is a long non-coding RNA of Dama dama (fallow deer), 438 nucleotides long. RefSeq lists it as uncharacterized. NCBI's taxonomy places the organism in Eukaryota, Metazoa, Chordata, Mammalia, Artiodactyla, Cervidae. The transcript is spliced from 3 exons. The record is from RefSeq and is a predicted model, not a curated record.
CAGGACUUCGAGGCAGCGGGGCACUGUUCGUUGAGUUUUGAGGUUUGGGGCUGAGGGAAAAUGAGGUCAAGCCCGUGAACUUUCUGCCAGGGAAGAACAUAAUGAUGACUGUGGUCCUGAAUGAGAAGGUACUUUGGAAGAAGGCAUGGUGAAGGCUUUAACCCACGGUACUCUGUGAUCUUGGAUCUUGGUCUUUCUCUUAGUAAAGAGUUGGAAAACCAGUUCAAUCCACUUUUGAGAGAUUAUGGAGAAAGGCAAAUUCAGGCAAGUGAUUCAUAGAUUAAAAGUAUCAUGAAAAACAGGAAAUGAAGAAGCAAGACUAUAAUCAAUCCUAAUAAAUGUUCACUUGCUCGUGGGCUUUGCUUUAUUCCUGCUCAGUGACCAGAGCCCACAGUGGAGGCUGGAGCAGAGUGAGCAUUCAACAUAUACUGUUGAGUC